GCUCCUAUAGGAUAACAGCUUAUCCACUGGUCUUAGGAACCAGAGACUCUUGGUGCAAAUCCAAGUAGCAGCU
Molecule: transfer RNA, 73 nt
Filed under: Dysalotus alcocki
Lineage: Eukaryota; Metazoa; Chordata; Actinopteri; Scombriformes; Chiasmodontidae
Also listed under: 2 other names
Description: tRNA-Leu
Rfam family: tRNA
About the family: Transfer RNA (tRNA) molecules are approximately 80 nucleotides in length. Their secondary structure includes four short double-helical elements and three loops (D, anti-codon, and T loops).
Source: RNAcentral